RNAcentral lists this ribosomal RNA (2814 nucleotides) under Triticum aestivum (bread wheat). RNAcentral's name for it is "partial small subunit ribosomal RNA". Lineage: Eukaryota; Viridiplantae; Streptophyta; Magnoliopsida; Poales; Poaceae. The record is from RNAcentral.
AUGCUGGAGAACUGCUCUUCCUACUCGAUAGAUGCCAAAAGGGUGGAGAAAAAAAAAGUAAAAAAAAAAACGCCUCGAAAGUGUAUCCAUCACAAGGACUUUUCAACAAUUAAUGCCUCGCAAUCUAAUCGAUGCAAGCAAAGCAAAGGCAUGGCGCCGGCGGCCGGUCGCGGGCGAGGACGAGGACGGGCCCGGGGACGCGGCCGCGGCCGCGGGCGAGGACGCGCGGCCAAGACCCCGCCUCCAGCCGCAGAACCCGCGCCGGAGGAGGCCCCCGACGCCGCCCACCACCAAGAGCAAGAGCAGGAGCAGGACAAGGACAAGGGGCAGGAAGAGCAGGAGCAGCUCACCCACACCCAAGAUGCCUCUGCCUCUGCUUUUGCCGGGCGGGAGACGAUUGAGAUCUCCGACUCGCCGGACGCAUCCCCUCAGCAUCAACAACAAGGAGGCGCCUCCUCCUCGCCACACAUAUAUACUACUAGCUCAACCCAUCAGAUCAAGGAGGAGCCAAGCUCAAUCACAGCCGUCCACCACAAACCCCAUGAGCCCUCUCCCUCUGCUGCCACCAAUAUUGACGAGCAGCAGGAGAAAAUGGAGGUGGAGGCUGGAGAGCCUCAUGAUAUGUUCUUGUCCGUACAGGAAGAAGAAGCAGCAGCCCCUCCACAAGAAGAACAAGAGGCAGACAAGCAAACGCUACAGAACAAGGCAGCACAGGUGAUAGAGCCGGAGGGUGGAAAACCCGAUGAUGAUGAUGAUGAUGAUGAUGAUGAUGAUGAUGAUGAUGAUGAUCUAGUCGUAAAGGGUGAUGUUGCUGCAACUGAUGAUGCACAAAAUAAGCAAGACAGUCAAGCUCACCAACUCCACCAGGAGGAACAAAUGCUUGCUGCAACUCAUGAUGAUGCAGAAAAUAAGCAAGGCACCCAAGCUCACCCACUCCACCAGGGAGAAAUGGAUGCUGAGCGGGAAGAGGAGGAGGAGGAGGAUCCCGAAGAGGUCAUUUUCGAGGACUCUGUCUCUGUGGGUGACGGGCAGGCCGCAACUGAGGACAAACAAGGAGAUGACCCUGCUGCUAGGGCCACGGAGGACGACGACGGGCAGGCUGCAGCUGAGAGCAAACAGGAAGAGCACCGUGCUAGGGCGAUGGAGGAGGACGUGCAGGCUGCAGGUGAGAUCAAACAGCAAGAGGACGAGCGCAAGGUUAUGUCAGACAUGGCCAAGAACAGGCAGCGCAAAAAGGAGCUAGAGAUCUUUGUGGGAGGGCUGGACCGUGAAGCCGUCGAGGAGGAUAUCAGGAAGGUGUUUGCGCAGGUCGGUGAUGUUGUGGAGGUCCGUCUCCACAAGGAUCCCUCCACCAACAAGAACAAGGGGUUUGCGUUCGUCAGGUUUGCAAACAAACAGCAGGUGGCUCGGGCGCUUGCUGAGGUGAAGAAUCCUAUGAUACAUGGCAAACGUUGUGGUGUUGCUGCUAGCGAGGACAACGAUACACUCUUCUUGGGCAAUAUUUGCAAUACAUGGACAAAGGAAGCUAUUAAGAAGAGGCUGCUUGACUAUGGGGUAGAAGGAGUUCAAAGUUUAACUCUUGUUCCUGAUACUCAAAACGAAGGCCAGAGCCGUGGUUUUGCAUUUCUCGAGUUCUCUUGCCACGCGGAUGCGAUGCUUGCAUUCAAAAGGCUGCAGCAACCAGAUGCUCUAUUUGGUCACCCUGAGAGAACUGCAAAAGUUGCCUUUGCAGAGCCAAUAAAAGAAGCAGAUGCAGAAGUUAUGGCUCAGGUCAAAUCAGUUUUUAUUGAUGGACUUCCACCAUACUGGGAUGAAGAACGUGUUAAAAACCGAUUCAGAGCUUAUGGUGUGAUAGAACGAGUUGUGCUUGCUCGCAAUAUGUCUAGUGCUAAAAGAAACGAUUUUGGAUUUGUCAACUUCUCAACCCAUGAGGAGGCUCUUGCUUGUAUUGAAGCCACCAACAACACCGAGCUGGGUGAUGAUGGAAAAGCAAAGCUAAAAGUAAGGGUUAGACUUUCAAACCCUUUACCUAAAAGUCAGGCUGUGAAAGGUGAAAUGAGUGGCGGGUUUCGAAUUGGACAUCCUGGAUCUGGUUUUAACAGGCCUGGUAGAGGUUUUAAUAGGGACAGAGCUGCCCCUCGCCGGGAAGGUUUCCAUGGUGAUAGGGGUUUCAAUAAUCACACUCCUGGUCGUGGUGCGAGAUUUAAUUCUGCAUACAGUAACAACAGUUUUGAAGCUUCGCCCUCUGAUUUCCGAGCCAGGCAGGCUCCUCCUGCCUUUCGAGGGGGGAGAUGGGAACCUUCCUCAGGAAGGCAUGAUUUCUUUGAUAGAGGGCAGGGGAGAGGGUAUCAUCAUCCACCUAGAGGGCCAACAUUUGAGCCUGAGGGUGAUUUUGGUAGACCCUUUGGUGAAAACCCAUAUCUCUAUGAAGAUGUUCGGCAUAGUGCUAAGAGGCCAUAUUCUCACAUGGAACCCGGCCCUCCUGGAUACUUUGAGCAUGGUCCUCCUCGUGUGCGCCCUCGCUUUGACCAUUACGAGCAGCCACCAUUUCCUGGAGGGAACCGUUUUGGUCAUUAUGACCAGCCACCAUUUCCUGGAGGUGACCGCCACAGAGACUCUUUUGGGACGAGGGGUGGUUAUUCACGUGAUCACUAUGGCCCUGGUUCUGGUCCUGGUCAUGCCCCGCCCCCCGCCCAUGCCCAUGCCCCGCCCCCUGCCCAUGCCCAUGCCCAUGCCCCAGCUCAAUAUGGUAGGGGUGCAUUCCGACCACACCAAAGAGGCGGGCAUUCUGGAGGCGGUUAUUACCACCACUAG